Transfer RNA from Gossypium raimondii (Peruvian cotton), 72 nucleotides. It matches the Rfam family "tRNA". From Rfam's summary of the family: Transfer RNA (tRNA) molecules are approximately 80 nucleotides in length. NCBI's taxonomy places the organism in Eukaryota, Viridiplantae, Streptophyta, Magnoliopsida, Malvales, Malvaceae. The record is from Rfam.
GUCGUUGUAGUAUAGUAGUGAGUAUUCCUGCCUGUCACGCGGGUGACCCGGGUUCGUUUCCCGUUAACGGCG